GUUUCCUCCAGGUUCUCCAGUUUCUCCCACCUCUUGAAAAUAUGUCACUUAAUGGUUUAGCUAAUGGUCUGACUUGUGAGACUACCGCAACUCUGACCAGGACAAAUAUGUCUCUGAAGAUGACUAAAUAAAUUAAGUAUUUCACUAUGAUUCCGAUGACCAGACUGAGAUAUAAGGAAUACUAAAACCUAAGGUUUGAGCAAUGGGCUACUCAAUAGUGGUUUUUGGAUGAAUCCCUUAGAAGAGAAACGUGUAACGAAAUAUAGUGUUCAUCAAAUUUCCAUGAUAUCAGUGUUAAGAUGUGCAUUUAAUAAAACAUGCAGUGAACAACUCUGUUCCACACGUCGUUGGCAGCCAUGAAAGCAGUGGAGCUUCCCCAUGUACUGUACUAAAUCUUAAUUUAACCCCCGAGACUUACAGACAUAGAUCUUUUAAAAUAGACUGCAUUCUGAAAGCUUAUUUUUAAGUAUGCAUAAAUAACAUUUUCGUAUGCAUACUUAAGAUUCUAGUAUGUUUUUUUGUUGUUGUUGUUAGUAUGCAUACUUAAGAUUCUAG
Ictalurus punctatus (channel catfish) is the source of this 555-nucleotide long non-coding RNA. The record is from Ensembl. NCBI's taxonomy places the organism in Eukaryota, Metazoa, Chordata, Actinopteri, Siluriformes, Ictaluridae.